This 253-nucleotide unclassified non-coding RNA is filed under the name air metagenome. Its description in RNAcentral is "partial contains small subunit ribosomal RNA, internal transcribed spacer 1, and 5.8S ribosomal RNA". The stretch from base 1 to 46 matches the Rfam family "Eukaryotic small subunit ribosomal RNA", at positions 1786 to 1831 of the family's 1831-position model. The record is from RNAcentral.
AAGUCGUAACAAGGUCUCCGUUGGUGAACCAGCGGAGGGAUCAUUAUAGAGUUACCAAACUCCAAACCCCUGUGAACGUACCACUUGUUGCCUCGGCAGGUCGUCCUACCCCGUAACGCUGUUACCCUGUAAGAGCCUACCCGGUAGUACAUCUCCGGCCUGCCGAAGGACUAUCAAACUCUAGCUUAUUUACGCAUCUCUGAACACAUAACUAAAUAAGUUAAAACUUUCAACAACGGAUCUCUUGGUUCUG